ACGCAAACAAAAAUUUAAUUUCAAAAAACCACAUGUGCACAUGUUAUACUAUACAGCUAGGUGCCCCGAAAAAUGCCAUAGCUAUAUCAGGUUCUAGAAUUUUACACACGACAAGCUAGCUACUAUAGUGAGCAUCGCCAAUUUAAAAUAAGAGUUGAUUUUGAAGCUAGCUAAAACUGUCAAAAGUGAUCUAAAAUGGAAUCAAUGUUAUAUACUUGUUUUAAAGUUAGGGGUUAUCAGACCUAUUGAUACUUUACACAACUAAUGCAUGAUUUCAAUGGUCCAUUGCAUGGGUGAACUAUGCAAUUUAUAUGUAAAACAGCCAUAACAUUGGUUCUACUGGACUAAUUUUAAUCGUAGAGUAAAAUUCAUCGCUUAUAGAUUAAAUUCUCAAUGCCACUAAUAAUUAGCCGCGUAAAAAUCUGGAAAAUAUACCUAUUGCCUUUUUUGGGGACACCCUGUAUAACCAUGGUCAUGCAACAUAUAUAUGAACUGCAUGUGUAAUCUACCAAAGCAACGUAUACAAACAAAAACAGUUUAGUCUUUAAACCAACGGAAGUUUUGAUUCUCUCUUGUCAAGUUUCUUAUGAUGUAAC
Molecule: non-coding RNA, 596 nt
Organism: Paramuricea clavata
Lineage: Eukaryota; Metazoa; Cnidaria; Anthozoa; Malacalcyonacea; Plexauridae
Source: the annotation of a GenBank genome assembly